UGGAACUAUUCAAGUUGGUAAGGUUAAUGUGAUUUGUUAGGAGUACUCUUGUCAACUUUUAUUUUAAAAGCCAAAAAAAAAAAGCAAUCCUCAUGACUUGGCUGUACUUCUGCACCAAAAUAAAUCAGGUGGACCCCAUCUCCGGUUAGGAGUCUUUCUUCCCGGAACAGCAUCCCAUGGUUAAGGAGGCCGAAGCCCUCCUGAUGACACCAUGCUCGCACCCAGGCAUUCACCUCCUGAGGAACCAUCACCUCCAGGAUGCAUCUGUUUCCACCUGGGUUCCUACCCUGGACCAGAAGGAUCAAAGAGAGCACACCUGCACCCCCAACUCCUUCACCCUUACUCCCGGAGCCCUGUUGUCACUUCUGAGCUGCUCAGGAUCGUACCUUGAAGAAUGGUCACUUAACUUGUGACUACGAAUUAGUUUUUAUGAUACCUGGUAGAGGUGUCAGCUUGUCUUUUGUCUUCAAGAAAGUGGUUUACCCACUUCCCAGACUUGUUUGGUAAACACAUUUCAGUCAUAA
Molecule: long non-coding RNA, 524 nt
Organism: Mauremys reevesii (Reeves's turtle)
Lineage: Eukaryota; Metazoa; Chordata; Testudines; Geoemydidae
Exons: 2
Source: RefSeq, a predicted model, not a curated record